RNAcentral lists this unclassified non-coding RNA (237 nucleotides) under Mortierella sp. RNAcentral describes it as "partial contains small subunit ribosomal RNA, internal transcribed spacer 1, and 5.8S ribosomal RNA". The stretch from base 1 to 46 matches the Rfam family "Eukaryotic small subunit ribosomal RNA", at positions 1786 to 1831 of the family's 1831-position model. The record is from RNAcentral. Lineage: Eukaryota; Fungi; Mortierellomycota; Mortierellomycetes; Mortierellales; Mortierellaceae.
AAGUCGUAACAAGGUUUCCGUAGGUGAACCUGCGGAAGGAUCAUUCAUAAUAAGUGUUUUAUGGCACUUUAAAAAUCCAUAUCCACCUUGUGUGCAUUGUUUGAAUUCGGAUCUAUCUCUAUGAGGUAGUGAUGAUUCUCAAUUUUAAACCAAUUUAAAACUAGUUUGUCUGAUAAAAGUAUCUGGGAUUUACCUAAUUCUAAAAUACAACUUUCAACAACGGAUCUCUUGGCUCUC